GAAUGGUCUCGUGCACGUGUGCACGCAAUUAAUUCGGUUCUUCAGAAGCCAGUUGUUUAGAAGUCUGUCUGCCGUUUGAUUCUUCAUUUGCAAAAGCAAAAUGGCUGAUAUGUCGAGCAUGUCAAGCAUGUCAAGCAUGUCAAGCAUGUCGGAGAUGUCCGGCAUGAGCGGAAUUUCCACAACCGGAGGUGCUGAAGAAA
This is a long non-coding RNA of Ornithodoros turicata, 200 nucleotides long. RefSeq lists it as uncharacterized. NCBI's taxonomy places the organism in Eukaryota, Metazoa, Arthropoda, Arachnida, Ixodida, Argasidae. The record is from RefSeq and is a predicted model, not a curated record. The transcript has 3 exons.